RNAcentral lists this long non-coding RNA (130 nucleotides) under Dromaius novaehollandiae (emu). Its description in RNAcentral is "ZEB2 antisense RNA 1 conserved region 1 (ENSDNVG00000016327.1)". It matches the Rfam family "ZEB2 antisense RNA 1 conserved region 1". The record is from RNAcentral. Lineage: Eukaryota; Metazoa; Chordata; Aves; Casuariiformes; Dromaiidae.
CUAUAAAAGAUGUAACAGAUGCAAACUGUAAAACAAGGGCAAUUAACCCCUGCUCUGCUGGACAGAAACCCCCCUGUCCUCCCCAGCCAUUGUCCUCUCCUGCACUGCAAGUUUUGCACGAAACGGCAAA